RNAcentral lists this ribosomal RNA (460 nucleotides) under uncultured bacterium. RNAcentral describes it as "partial 16S ribosomal RNA". It matches the Rfam family "Bacterial small subunit ribosomal RNA", at positions 338 to 795 of the family's 1533-position model. The record is from RNAcentral.
CCUACGGGUGGCAGCAGUGAGGAAUAUUGGUCAAUGGGCGGAAGCCUGAACCAGCCAAGUCGCGUGAGGGAAUAAGGCCCUACGGGUCGUAAACCUCUUUUGCCGGGGAGCAAGGGCCGGGACGAGUCCCGGUCCGGAGAGUACCCGGAGAAAAAGCAUCGGCUAACUCCGUGCCAGCAGCCGCGGUAAUACGGAGGAUGCGAGCGUUAUCCGGAUUUAUUGGGUUUAAAGGGUGCGUAGGCGGGCUUUUAAGUCAGCGGUAAAAAUUCGGGGCUCAACCCCGUCCGGCCGUUGAAACUGUGUCCCUUGAGUGCGCGAAGGGUAGGCGGAAUGCGUGGUGUAGCGGUGAAAUGCAUAGAUAUCACGCAGAACUCCGAUCGCGAAGGCAGCCUACCGGCGCGCAACUGACGCUCAUGCACGAAAGCGUGGGUAUCGAACAGGAUUAGAUACCCCGGUAGUC